CUCUGCCGCCGGCUUCAGGCCUCUUGCGCGCACACAGAGCACCGCGCAGAGAGCGGAGGACCGGCUGGCUGACUAGGGCCGCCGCCGCCAAGAACCUUCGGCAGCAGCAGGCGCCGGCAUUCUCCGUGCUGGGGGCGGCUUUGGGAUGGGCGGAUCGUCCUGCUCGCUCCUCGGCCCUUUGGAGGGGCUGCGAGCGACUCGCCUCCUUUCCAGCUCUGGCUUCCCGUGCCUGAUGAGCAUGCCCGCAAAGCAGAUUACAACACAGAAAACCCAUUUUUAAAUGCCCACACAGUCAGAAAAACUGUGCAAACCCAUUCGCAAGCUACACCAACUGGAUGAGGCCUCAACCCCUUGGUUACACCACGGUCAAAAUUUGGAUUGCGUCACUCAGAAUCAACAUUGUGAAACCAACCAACUCAGCAAACAGAAAAAAGGAGCCAAGAAAGGGGUCCUCCUGGUCCAGUGACAGAUUCCCUUCUCAACUGCAAUGCUGGUCUGGACCUGGGCAUGCUGUGAAUGCCAAGCGAGGUCUCCCCCCGCCCCGCCCCACCCCACCCCCGGCCACACUGACUGGCUCAUGAUUUGCUCUCCUUGCAGCAAAGCUCCAAAUAGGGAAUAAAUGGGUGGAAAAUCAAUAA
Long non-coding RNA from Hemicordylus capensis (graceful crag lizard), 638 nucleotides. RefSeq lists it as uncharacterized. The transcript is spliced from 3 exons. Lineage: Eukaryota; Metazoa; Chordata; Lepidosauria; Squamata; Cordylidae. The record is from RefSeq and is a predicted model, not a curated record.